Molecule: long non-coding RNA, 1053 nt
Organism: Lingula anatina
Lineage: Eukaryota; Metazoa; Brachiopoda; Lingulata; Lingulida; Lingulidae
Source: RefSeq, a predicted model, not a curated record
ACACAUACUAUUAGAGGAAAAAAUAGAGAACACUUCCAAGGUGAACGUGACUAAAGGAGGGCUUGUCUUGUAGAAAUAUAAUCGGUGCUUAUUUUCUUCCACUUCCAGUCCUUGCUGCGGGAAAGUAUAAAAGUAGCAAAUCCUAGGCAGCAUUUCAGCUGACAUAUUUUCUCAUAUAUUAUUGUCCUACAUAAAAUAAGAUAACACUUGCAGUAUGUGUAGCUAAUGUUCUUUGCAUAUUCUACGUAUUCAGACUAGUUAAUCUGUUGUGAGUUGCAUUAAACCGUAAUUACAAAUGUUACCAUAUCGACUUUGUGUUGGCAAUUUUGUAAUUUUCAUUUCAUUUCCUGGUCUGUCUUCAGGUCUGUGUCUAGCGGCGGGUGGACCCCUGGGGAGACCAGCAUGAGAAAGGGAUGUCGGUGAUGUCAGCGUUAAAUUGUUCUGCAGUUUAUAUCCUCCCACUUUCACUUGUGUCACCGACGCCGGAGAUGUGCCCGUGGACGUAUUAGCAUUACCACAGAAUUCCACCUCAGAUAAAUGUCAUCACUGAAAUUGGUGUGGUCAGUGGAUGGUCAGUGUGGUGUGGUCCCUGCUGGUGGCCGCCACUGGACACCCCUGACCAUUGUAUACAGGAAAGUUUUCUUUCCUGUGAUGAGCAGUCCUUCCAUUGUUGCCUAACUCAUUCCUCCCAGUUGUGAAGUCCACUUGGAGGUAUUGCCUAACUAGGAAGGAAGAGCUGUGCAUACAGACAAUGGUAAUAGUCACAGAUAUAACUUUGAUAUUUGUAACAUGGUAAUGUUUACAUUGGGGAUAAAAUAAUCAUGUUUCAUGCUUACAUAGGGGUUAAAAGACGGGUUGCCUUCCUGUUAAUUGAAAGUAGAAUGAAAUGAUUUUUUUAAAAUGGUCAAAUAAAAGUAAUAAUAUUGUAAUUGAAAUGCAAGGGGGCUUAUUGAUGUAACAGUUACAAACAAUGACCUAUAUUACAUGUUGUGUAAUGUAUUAUGUCUUCUAAGAAAAAGAAAAUUCAGAGCUUGUUGACGAGGGUUAUAGAAG